CCUACGGGUGGCAGCAGUGGGGAAUUUUGCACAAUGGGCGCAAGCCUGAUGCAGCCAUGCCGCGUGUAUGAAGAAGGCCUUCGGGUUGUAAAGUACUUUCAGUCGUGAGGAAGGUGUUAAGGCUAAUAACCUUAGCAAUUGACGUUAGCGACAGAAGAAGCACCGGCUAACUCCGUGCCAGCAGCCGCGGUAAUACGGAGGGUGCGAGCGUUAAUCGGAAUUACUGGGCGUAAAGGGCACGCAGGCGGUUAAUUAAGUUGGAUAUGAAAUCCCCGGGCUUAACCUGGAAAUGGCAUUCAAGACUGGUUAGGUAGAGUCUUGUAGAGGAGGGUAGAAUUCGAUGUGUAGCGGUGAAAUGCGUAGAGAUGUGGAGGAAUACCGGUGGCGAAGGCGGCCAGCUGGACAGAGACUGGCACACACGUGCGAAAGCGUGAGGAGCAAACAGGAUUAGAUACGCAGGUAGUC
RNAcentral lists this ribosomal RNA (465 nucleotides) under uncultured Arsenophonus sp. Its description in RNAcentral is "bacterial SSU rRNA". It matches the Rfam family "Bacterial small subunit ribosomal RNA", at positions 338 to 795 of the family's 1533-position model. Lineage: Bacteria; Pseudomonadati; Pseudomonadota; Gammaproteobacteria; Enterobacterales; Morganellaceae. The record is from RNAcentral.